UACAGAGGUCUCAAGCGUUGUUCGGAUUCAUUGGGCGUAAAGGGUGUGCAGGCUGCCCCUCAAGUGGUGUAUGAAAGGGCUCGGCUCAACCGGGCUAGGUUAUGCCAGACUGAGGGGCUAGAGAGCGAGAGCGGGACGUGGAAUUCCGGGUGUAGCGGUGGAAUGCGUAGAGAUCCGGAAGAACACCGGUGGCGAAGGCGGCCCGCUGGGCUGUGGCUGACGCUGAGGCGCGACAGCGUAGGGAGCAAACAGG
RNAcentral lists this ribosomal RNA (253 nucleotides) under uncultured bacterium. RNAcentral's name for it is "partial 16S ribosomal RNA". It matches the Rfam family "Bacterial small subunit ribosomal RNA", at positions 524 to 776 of the family's 1533-position model. The record is from RNAcentral.